ACGUUAGCGGCGGACGGGUGAGUAACACGUGGGUAACCUACCUAUAANACUGGGAUAACUUCGGGAAACCGGAGCUAAUACCGGAUAAUAUUUCGAACCGCAUGGUUCGAUAGUGAAAGAUGGUUUUGCUAUCACUUAUAGAUGGACCCGCGCCGUAUUAGCUAGUUGGUAAGGUAACGGCUUACCAAGGCGACGAUACGUAGCCGACCUGAGAGGGUGAUCGGCCACACUGGAACUGAGACACGGUCCAGACUCCUACGGGAGGCAGCAGGC
This 273-nucleotide ribosomal RNA is filed under the name uncultured Staphylococcus sp. RNAcentral's name for it is "partial 16S ribosomal RNA". It matches the Rfam family "Bacterial small subunit ribosomal RNA", at positions 89 to 354 of the family's 1533-position model. The record is from RNAcentral. Lineage: Bacteria; Bacillati; Bacillota; Bacilli; Caryophanales; Staphylococcaceae.